RNAcentral lists this non-coding RNA (104 nucleotides) under Candidatus Fimenecus excrementigallinarum. Its description in RNAcentral is "SAM riboswitch (S box leader)". It matches the Rfam family "SAM riboswitch aptamer (S box leader)". Rfam says of the family: The SAM riboswitch is found upstream of a number of genes which code for proteins involved in methionine or cysteine biosynthesis in Gram-positive bacteria. The SAM riboswitch acts at the level of transcription termination control. The predicted structure consists of a complex stem-loop region followed by a single stem loop terminator region. The record is from RNAcentral. Lineage: Bacteria; Bacillati; Bacillota; Clostridia.
CCUUAUAAAGAGUGACGGAGGGACAGGCCCUGUGAAGUCCGGCAACCUGCAAGUGUGUAUGCAAGGUGCCAAUUCCUACAGCCCGAAACGGCUGAGAGAUAAGG